Long non-coding RNA from Centruroides sculpturatus (bark scorpion), 1015 nucleotides. RefSeq lists it as uncharacterized. The transcript is spliced from 2 exons. The record is from RefSeq and is a predicted model, not a curated record. NCBI's taxonomy places the organism in Eukaryota, Metazoa, Arthropoda, Arachnida, Scorpiones, Buthidae.
UUCCGUUUGUUAUCAAACCAAUAGCGUGUAAUUGUUUAUCACGUUGAGGGAGUCAGACAAGAGGAAGGUCAUUUAAACGCUUCAAACAAAUCAAGAGGAUAAUCAAUCUUGAAGAUCCACAGUAGUGAUAUUAAUGAUCGAAUUAAAUACCAGACGGACAGAACUUUAUCAGUAUUCUUAUCCGAAACGAGUAUGCGUCUUAGGCAUGCUCUUUAUAUUCUUGGGAUUAGGAAUGACGAUUUCUGCAUAUAAUCAUACACAAAGUAGAAACAAUUCUCUUCGAUCGGUCGGUCCCAUAUUACUAACUUUGGGUGCCACAAUGACGUUAAUUGCCGUCAUUUCGUACUUGUGUCUGAAGAGUAAGGAAAACCAACGACACGAUUUAUCACGCGUUGUCGUGGAUCCGAGAUCGAGUAUUCGCCCUUCCGGUGCAUUGCCACCACCUUACACGUCUAUUUCUUACAACGAUUCGGCUCGAAUUCCACAAGAUGAUCCCCCGCCAUCUUACGAAUCCGUGUGUCAAACUUACCAAUCGAGGAACGAUGCACUCGGUCCCAGUGCACCGGCGAUAAAUUAUAAUCCUCGGCAAGAUAAACGCACCGUUUCUUCUAAUAAUUAUUACUAGAAGGAAUGGGAUCAUCUCGCUGUUCGAUCCAGCAAAAAUCUACGUGGUGUAACUAUUUUGUGAUAAUUCCUUCAACUGAAAUUGUCGAAUCGUAUUUUUUCUGUAAAAAUUAUCUUCUUUGUAUAUAAUAUAAAAUAAGUAUAUAUAUAUUGCUAGUUAAAUUUAUGAAUAUUUUCAGUUUUGUUCCAUAUUAUUACUUUGUGGCAUCAAUUUAAAAUAUUCUGUAAAUAAAAAUAUGAGUAUGUGAAUAAAUAAAAAGACAUGUAUAUACGUGCGAUGAAAAAAGAAAGUGAAGAUUGUUUAUGAGCUUAAAAAGAUCAUCUUGUCCGUAACAAGAUACUCAAAAAAAUGUUCAUUUAGAUAAAAAUUUUAAUAAAUAUUUUUAAAAAA